RNAcentral lists this small RNA (514 nucleotides) under Pan troglodytes (chimpanzee). RNAcentral describes it as "processed transcript". Lineage: Eukaryota; Metazoa; Chordata; Mammalia; Primates; Hominidae. The record is from RNAcentral.
AAAACUCGAGUACCUCUGAGGGAAAGCCGGACCCCUUUUCCAUCCUCUCCUGUUGGAGGGAUGAGGAGUUCAAAGGUCACGUCCACACAGAGGGUGACAGAGGCAUCCUCUCCGCGCAGGACGCGGACUGGGGGCAGGCACGCAGCGCCACCCGGAUCCUGGAGUCGUCAAGAAAAACGCGGGCGGGCAGGCCGAAGAGGAAAUCACUGUGUUUUCAGCUCAGCGGCCCUGUGACAUUCCUUCGUGUUGUCAUUUGUUGAGUGACCAAUCAGAUGGGUGGAGUGUGUUACAGAAAUUGGCAGCAAGUAUCCAAUGGGUGAAGAAGAAGCUAACUGGGGACGUGGGCAGCCCUGACGUGAUGAGCUCAACCAGCAGAGACAUUCCAUCCCAAGAGAGGUCUGCGUGACACGUCGGGGAGGCCACCCUCAGCAAGACCACCGUACGGUUGGUGGAAGGGGUGACAGCUGCAUUCUCCUGUGCCUACCACGUAACCAAAAAUGAAGGAGAACUACUG